AAGUCCUGGCUAAAAGAGAGUCUCUUCCAGUUCCUAAAGGGGGCUUGCAAGAAAGCUGGAGAGGGACUUUUUACAGGGCUACAUAGGGAUAGGACAAAGAGGAAUGGUUUUAAACUGAAAGAGGUUAGAUUUAGAUUAGAUAUUAGGAAAAAAUUCUUUACUAUGAGGGUGGUGAG
Strigops habroptila (Kakapo) is the source of this 176-nucleotide long non-coding RNA. RefSeq lists it as uncharacterized. The transcript has 4 exons. NCBI's taxonomy places the organism in Eukaryota, Metazoa, Chordata, Aves, Psittaciformes, Psittacidae. The record is from RefSeq and is a predicted model, not a curated record.